CCCGAGCGUUGUUCGGAUUCAUUGGGCGUAAAGGGUGCGUAGACGGCGCGGAAAGUCCGGCGUGAAAGNCAGGGGCUCAACCUCUGGACUGCGUUGGAUACUUCCGUGCCUGAGGACUGGAGGGGAGACUGGAAUUCACGGUGUAGCAGUGAAAUGCGUAGAUAUCGUGAGGAAGACCGGUGGCGAAGGCGAGUCUCUGGACAGAUCCUGACGCUGAGGCACGAAGGCUGGGGGAGCGAACAGGAUUAGAUACCCUGGUAGUCCCAGCAGUAAACGAUGUGAGCUUGAUGUGGGGGGAUUCGACCCCUUCCGUGUCGAAGCUAACGCGAUAAGCUCACCGCCUGAGGAGUACGGCCGCAAGGCUAAAACUCAAAGAAAUUGACGGGGACCCGCACAAGCGGUGGAGUAUGUGGCUUAAUUCGAUGCAACGCGAAGAACCUUACCUGGCCUUGACAUGCAUUGUGUCGUCGGUGAAAGCCGGCUAGUCCUGGAAACAGGACGCUUUGCACAGGUGCUGCAUGGCUGUCGUCAGCUCGUGUCGUGAGAUGUUGGGUUAAGUCCCGCAACGAGCGCAACCCUUGUGGUCAGUUACUAACCGGCUUAGCCGGAGGACUCUGGCCAGACUGCCCUGUCAAACGGGGAGGAAGGUGGGGACGACGUCAAGUCAGUAUGGCCCUUAUGGCCAGGGCUGCACACGUACUACAAUGCCCGGUACAAUGUGAACCGAAACCGCGAGGUGGAGGAAAUCGCUCUGGAAAACCGGGCCCAGUUCGGAUUGGAGUCUGCAACUCGACUCCAUGAAGUCGGAAUCGCUAGUAAUGGCGUAUCAGCAACGACGCCGUGAAUACGUUCACCGGGUCUUGUACACACCGCCCGUCACAUCAUGGAAGUCUCCUGUACCCGAAGCACGUGCGCCAACCUUUCUGGAGGCAGCGUUCGAAGGUAUGGGAGGUAACUGGGAUGAAGUCGUAACAAGG
RNAcentral lists this ribosomal RNA (977 nucleotides) under uncultured organism. RNAcentral describes it as "bacterial SSU rRNA". It matches the Rfam family "Bacterial small subunit ribosomal RNA", at positions 533 to 1496 of the family's 1533-position model. The record is from RNAcentral.